GUGAGGAAUAUUGGUCAAUGGACGAGAGUCUGAACCAGCCAAGUAGCGUGAAGGAUGACUGCCCUAUGGGUUGUAAACUUCUUUUAUAAGGGAAUAAAGUGAGGGACGUGUCCCUUUUUGUAUGUACCUUAUGAAUAAGGAUCGGCUAACUCCGUGCCAGCAGCCGCGGUAAUACGGAGGAUCCGAGCGUUAUCCGGAUUUAUUGGGUUUAAAGGGAGCGUAGGUUGACGUAUAAGUCAGCCGUGAAAGUUUACGGCUCAACCGUGAAAUUGCAGUUGAUACUGUAUGUCUUGAGUGUACAAGAGGUGGGCGGAAUUCGUGGUGUAGCGGUGAAAUGCUUAGAUAUCACGAAGAACUCCAAUUGCGAAGGCAGCUCACUGGGGUACAACUGACACUGAGGCUCGAAAGUGUGGGUAUCAAACAGGAUUAGAAACCCGUGUAGUCC
RNAcentral lists this ribosomal RNA (445 nucleotides) under uncultured bacterium. RNAcentral describes it as "partial 16S ribosomal RNA". It matches the Rfam family "Bacterial small subunit ribosomal RNA", at positions 354 to 796 of the family's 1533-position model. The record is from RNAcentral.